Molecule: non-coding RNA, 71 nt
Organism: Elasticomyces elasticus
Lineage: Eukaryota; Fungi; Ascomycota; Dothideomycetes; Mycosphaerellales; Teratosphaeriaceae
Source: the annotation of a GenBank genome assembly
AUCUGACUGGCUUAAUGGUAAAGCAGGAUAUUCCUAAUAUUUGUAUUAAAGUUCGAAUCUUUAGUCAGAUU